AUUGAACGCUGGCGGCAUGCCUUACACAUGCAAGUCGAACGGCAGCACGGGAGCAAUCCUGGUGGCGAGUGGCGAACGGGUGAGUAAUAUAUCGGAACGUGCCCAGUCGUGGGGGAUAACGUAGCGAAAGCUACGCUAAUACCGCAUACGAUCUACGGAUGAAAGCGGGGGAUCGCAAGACCUCGCGCGAUUGGAGCGGCCGAUAUCAGAUUAGCUAGUUGGUGGGGUAAAAGCUCACCAAGGCGACGAUCUGUAGCUGGUCUGAGAGGACGACCAGCCACACUGGAACUGAGACACGGUCCAGACUCCUACGGGAGGCAGCAGUGGGGAAUUUUGGACAAUGGGCGCAAGCCUGAUCCAGCAAUGCCGCGUGCAGGAUGAAGGCCUUCGGUUGUAAACUGCUUUGUACGGUACGAAACGGUGAGCUCUAAUAAAGACUUGCUAAUGACGGUACCGUAAGAAUAAGCACCGGCUAACUACGUG
RNAcentral lists this ribosomal RNA (483 nucleotides) under uncultured bacterium. RNAcentral's name for it is "bacterial SSU rRNA". It matches the Rfam family "Bacterial small subunit ribosomal RNA", at positions 30 to 507 of the family's 1533-position model. The record is from RNAcentral.